This 460-nucleotide ribosomal RNA is filed under the name uncultured bacterium. RNAcentral's name for it is "partial 16S ribosomal RNA". It matches the Rfam family "Bacterial small subunit ribosomal RNA", at positions 338 to 795 of the family's 1533-position model. The record is from RNAcentral.
CCUACGGGAGGCAGCAGUGAGGAAUAUUGGUCAAUGGACGAGAGUCUGAACCAGCCAAGUAGCGUGAAGGAUGACUUCCCUAUGGGUUGUAAACUUCUUUUAUAAAGGAAUAAAACGAGGCACGUGUGCCUUUUUGCAUGUACUUUAUGAAUAAGGAUCGGCUAACUCCGUGCCAGCAGCCGCGGUAAUACGGAGGAUCCGAGCGUUAUCCGGAUUUAUUGGGUUGAAAGGGAGCGUAGAUGGGUUGUUAAGUCAGUUGUGAAAGUUUGCGGCUCAACCGUAAAAUUGCAAUUGAUACUGGCAGUCUUGAGUACAGUUGAGGUAGGCGGAAUUCGUGGUGUAGCGGUGAAAUGCUUAGAUAUCACGAAGAACCCCAAUUGCGAAGGCAGCUUACUAAACUGUGACUGACAUUGAUGCUCGAAAGUGUGGGUAGCAAACAGGAUUAGAUACCCGAGUAGUC